ACCUACGGGGGGCAGCAGUAGGGAAUUUUCGUCAAUGGGCGCAAGCCUGAACGAGCAAUGCCGCGUGAACGAGGAAGGUCUUCGGAUCGUAAAGUUCUGUUGAAGGGGAAAAAGAGCGGAGAGAGGAAAUGGUCUCCGAUUGAUAUUACCCUUCGAGGAAGUCACGGCUAACUACGUGCCAGCAGCCGCGGUAAUACGUAGGUGGCGAGCGUUAUCCGGAAUGAUUGGGCGUAAAGGGUGCGUGGGCGGCCUGCUAAGUCUGGAGUGAAAGGUACCGGCUCAACCGGUACAGGCUCUGGAAACUG
This 305-nucleotide ribosomal RNA is filed under the name uncultured bacterium. RNAcentral's name for it is "bacterial SSU rRNA". It matches the Rfam family "Bacterial small subunit ribosomal RNA", at positions 337 to 635 of the family's 1533-position model. The record is from RNAcentral.